Molecule: ribosomal RNA, 406 nt
Filed under: Cardinium endosymbiont of Bemisia tabaci
Lineage: Bacteria; Pseudomonadati; Bacteroidota; Cytophagia; Cytophagales; Amoebophilaceae
Description: bacterial SSU rRNA
Rfam family: Bacterial small subunit ribosomal RNA
Source: RNAcentral
CGUCCUAUUAGCUAGUUGGUGAGGUAAUGGCUCACCAAGGAUACGAUGGGUAGGGGUUCUUAGUGGAAGAUCCCCCACACUGGCAUUGAGAUACGGGCCAGACUCAUACGGGAGGCAGCAGUAGGGAAUAUUGGUCAAUGGGCGCAAGCCUGAACCAGCCAUGUCGCGUGCAGGAAGAAGGCUCUUUGAGUUGUAAAAUGAUUUUGUACAGGAGCAAAAAAAUCCCUGCGGGGGUUCUUGAGAGUACUGUAAGAAUAAGCACCGGCUAAUUCCGUGCCAGCAGCCGCGGUAAUACGGAAGGUGCAAGCGUUAUCCGGUUUUAUUGGGUUUAAAGGGUGCGUAGGCGGCUUAUUAAGUCAGUUGUGAAAUCCUAGUGCUUAACGCUAGAACUGCAAUUGAUACUAUU